This 301-nucleotide ribosomal RNA is filed under the name uncultured bacterium. RNAcentral's name for it is "partial 16S ribosomal RNA". It matches the Rfam family "Bacterial small subunit ribosomal RNA", at positions 509 to 807 of the family's 1533-position model. The record is from RNAcentral.
CAGCAGCCGCGGGAAUACGAAGGGUGCAAGCGUUACUCGGAAUUACUGGGCGUAAAGCGUGCGUAGGUGAUGGUUUAAGUCCGUUGUGAAAGCCCUGGGCUCAACCUGGGAAUUGCAGUGGAUACUGGAUCACUAGAGUGUGGUAGAGGAUAGUGGAAUUUCCGGUGUAGCAGUGAAAUGCGUAGAGAUCGGAAGGAACAUCUGUGGCGAAGGCGACUAUCUGGGCCAACACUGACACUGAGGCACGAAAGCGUGGGGAGCAAACAGGAUUAGAUACCCCCGUAGUCCCUGUCUCUUAUAC